This 468-nucleotide ribosomal RNA is filed under the name uncultured bacterium. RNAcentral describes it as "partial 16S ribosomal RNA". It matches the Rfam family "Bacterial small subunit ribosomal RNA", at positions 28 to 507 of the family's 1533-position model. The record is from RNAcentral.
GACGAACGCUGGCGGCGUGCUUAACACAUGCAAGUCGAACGGAAAGGCCCUGCUUUUGUGGGGUGCUCGAGUGGCGAACGGGUGAGUAACACGUGAGUAACCUGCCCUUGACUUUGGGAUAACUUCAGGAAACUGGGGCUAAUACCGGAUAGGAGCUCCUGCUGCAUGGUGGGGGUUGGAAAGUUUCGGCGGAUGGGGAUGGACUCGCGGCUUAUCAGCUUGUUGGUGGGGUAGUGGCUUACCAAGGCUUUGACGGGUAGCCGGCCUGAGAGGGUGACCGGGCACAUUGGGACUGAGAUACGGCCCAGACUCCUACGGGAGGCAGCAGUGGGGAAUAUUGCACAAUGGGCGGAAGCCUGAUGCAGCAACGCCGCGUGCGGGAUGACGGCCUUCGGGUUGUAAACCGCUUUCGCCUGUGACGAAGCGUGAGUGACGGUAAUGGGUAAAGAAGCACCGGCUAACUACGUG